GGGAUGCAAGGAGCACUGAGCUGGGAGCCAGAUCUCCUGGCUUCUAGCCCUGCUUGGAAACUAAUGACCAUGUGACCUUAGACUAGUCAUGUCUUAUUUCUGAGACUCAGGUUUCUCAACUAUAAAUAGAGGAUUACAUGAAUUUCCUCUUAAGUCUCCUUUGGAGUCCAGGGCUCUGUGAGUCUGGGAAGUUGAGCCUCAGUGGGGCAUAGGGUUGUGGAACCAGAGGGUCGCAGGUUUCCUCUGCCCUCAUAGAUGCACUCUGUGCAGACAACAGACAUACCAGGAGGGUAGAUGGAAGUGGUAUGGUGGCUCUGAGAAGUGAGAGGGGGAGUGAGAGGGAAAGGCAAGUCAUCCAGAGCUUCUGCUAGAAUCUUCCCCUAGCCAGGGCCCAGGACUCCUUGCAGUUCUGCCUCUCUUCCCUUCUACAGCCAGGCCCAAGGGGAGUAAGUCAGUUGGCCUAGACUCUGACUCCAGGUCCUGUCUAGGCCAUCACAGGUGCCACUCUUACGUACGUUCUCACUUUCUCUCUGUCACAUACACACAGCAUCACCACCACCACCACCACAACCACCUGCAGAUAGAUGCUUAAGUGAUUCUAGAAGAGAUCUCAAGGACUGGCGUUCUGCUCGUUAUGUAACCUAUGGGCUUCCCUUUGCACAGCUCCUCAUGUGCCCAUCUCCAUGCUGAUCAAACCACCCCACCUCAUUCCUUGCCUUCUGCAAGGGGAAGUACCUCAGGCUGGAGUUUGUCCUGUCUACAGACUGAAUAUGCAUUUUGCCCAGUGGCUGGGGAUGUGCUGGUGGUGGAAUGUGCUGGUGAUCGUUUCUGGAUGGAGAGCCACAACCCCCCAGUGUUCUGCCAUGACUGACUCCUGACCUUGGCAAAUUGCCUCCUCCCUCCCAGCCUCCUCCAUAACAGGUGGCGAUGAGUCCCAUUUCCUCCCUACCUCACAGGAAGGCACGCAUUAUAAAGGGCACACUUAUCAGAUGUGCCCAGAUGUGGCUGGAACUUUUGGAGACAGAUACUUGGUUCACAACUGCAAAGGUGGGCUUUCGCCAGAGAAAAUCUCUGGGCUGCUGAGUUCAGUGGGCUCCUUGCAGGCUGGUCUAGGAAGUCUGGUGUUCCUCCUGAAGGUGGCUGCUAUGUCCAGCAGGUGAUCAAGCUGACAGUGCCACAAGAACCAAGAAACAGAAUCUGUUCCCAAGCAAUGAACGUUCUAUCUCUCUGACCCAAAAGCAAGAGCAAGAGAGAGCUAUCACCAUCAUCACCCUGCUCCCAACACAAACACAGCCCCCCAAGUCCAUAUUGCUGACGAGGGUGUCUGGCUUGUCAGGGUGAAUCCUCUGGACCCCCAGGCCAUCCCUGGAGUGGUCAGUGCCCACUGUGUCGGGGUUGUUGUGGCCAGUCUGCCUGGGUUCCCUUCUCGAAAUUUCCAUGGGAUAGGAACUAUAGAUCAUGAAGAAGAAACAGGAACCUUGACUCUUCACAGAGGAGCCCAGGAGGUCAGAACCAUCCACCAGGAGGGUGAGCGGUAGCUGCCCAGGGCAUCCCUGGAGGAAGUCGUCAUACUGAGGAAGAAAUUGCAAAAGCCAAGAGCUCCCAGACCUGGGCAGCUCAGGAGCUGGCAGAAACCCCCCCCCCCAAGUCUGGAGUUCAAGGGUUUUCCUCGUGGGCUGCUGGGCUGUCUCUUUCCCUUCUGGGGCAGCUGUCUCUCCUCCUUCAGCUCAUUCCAGUGUUCCAUCUGAGGGGCGGGAGGAAGGCAGGAGGGGGAGAUGGCAGGACCCAGACAGAUCCUCAGGACUCUCCCAGCCUCUGUUGCCAUGGCAACACUGCUAUUUUUAUCCCGUUGUUCAUGAUGCUCAAAGCUCUAACUUUCUCUGUUCCAGAGAGGCCAGGCUGGCUUCUGCCCUCAUCCUUUAACACAGCAUCUUCUCCCAGAGGCCUGAGGAUGCGAAAAAGUGAUGGAGAAAAGGGGAAUCCCUUAGGUCACCUCUCAAUCAGAGGGAACUGUUUAACAGGGGUUUGUCUCUGCCCUUUUGAGCCUUUGGUUUUCUACCUGGCUCAGGCACCCAGAUUUAUGUUUUCUAGAUCAAAACUCCGCAUGGUCUCCCUGAGAGACUGCUCCAGAGAAAAAAGAGCUGCCAAUCAGGAUGGAUUUUUUCCUACACAGGUAUGACACUGCAGCCACUUCCCUUCUUGGGAAAAUUAAACUUCAUUCUGAAGAAUGUCCUGUUGGUGGUAUAAGCCAACCCCUGCCCUCCUAAAAGGGGAUAGAUAAUUAAAUUUGGUUAAUUAGCAAUCAGAUUCACUGGGGAAUUGAAACCAGUACUUCCCUUUCUUCUGUCCCUCCACCAAAGAACCGGAACAAAUGGCUUCAUGUCUUUGUCCAGUCUUUCUGCCUAAAGCAAAAUAGCAUAUAUUCUCCAGGCUGAAAAGUAGAUUCCUCCCCACCCCUACUCAAGACGGCCACAUUUUAAUCCAGGCUCUUGAAGACAGGGUCUAAUGAAAGGAUUUCUGUUCUUUCUCUGUCUGUUCCCUCUGGCCCAGCUUCCAGUUCUCUCCUUAUGUCCCCACAUGGCAGUGGCAAGAGACCCCUGAGAGUCAAUGGUGCUAACGUUCCCCACCUAUAUACCCCUAAGUAGUUUAUCGAGAUUUGAACCCAGCACCUAGGUGGCUGUGUUGGGUGGAUACAUUUCACAUCCUCAAGACCAUGACCCUGGCGACAGGUCUGGAUUAAUUCUGUAAAGUAGCAAUCUAUAUCAUGCUAAAUUCCUGCACUGAGGUUCUACCUCGUCUGAACUGACUCGUGGAUGGUUAAGUUUCCUGGGGUGGCUGGAACCCAUUUACUAAGCCUCUAAUUGGUUUCCUUUUGGCUCAAGUUGCAUGGUUUCCCGAAUCUAUGCACCUGGAGUAAGCACUUUUCUGGUUGCCACUGAAAAGCAUGCCGGCAAACGCUGCUCUGUUAAUUGCUGUAAUAAACAGACUUUAUUAUA
This 2996-nucleotide long non-coding RNA is filed under the name Pongo abelii (Sumatran orangutan). RNAcentral's name for it is "lincRNA". The record is from RNAcentral. Lineage: Eukaryota; Metazoa; Chordata; Mammalia; Primates; Hominidae.